GACAGAGGGUGCAACCGUUGUUCGGAAUUACUGGGCGUAAAGCGUGUGUAGGCGGGUCGUUAAGUGUCUUGUGAAAUCCCACCGCUCACCGGUGGAACGGCUGGGCAUACUGGCGACCUUGAGAGGCCUAGGGGCAGACGGAACAAGCGGUGGAGCGGUGAAAUGCGUAGAUAUCGCUUGGAACGCCGACGGCGAAAGCAGUCUGCUGGGGGCCUUCUGAUGCUGAGACACGAAAGCCAGGGGAGCGAACGGG
RNAcentral lists this ribosomal RNA (253 nucleotides) under uncultured bacterium. Its description in RNAcentral is "partial 16S ribosomal RNA". It matches the Rfam family "Bacterial small subunit ribosomal RNA", at positions 524 to 776 of the family's 1533-position model. The record is from RNAcentral.